CAACAUUUCCUCUGCACAGGUUUUGAUAAAUCAUCCCCAGAGUCGCUGGGAGAAUGCAAUGCUAACGUGCAUUUUUAAUAUCUAUAAUCUGAGAGUCUAAAACAAAAGAUUUAAUGUAGAUGUUAAAACUCUUCAACCCUUAACACAUUCCAUCUGUGUUUUCUUUCUGUCUUUGUUUCUGAGCACAAUACUAACAUCUAACAGGAAGAGCCCAGGAACCUGCAGGGUCCUGGAAACAAAUCGGACCGCUGUAUGUUCUGCUCACUGUUAAAUCAGGUUGAAGAGAGGAGUUCAAUAAAAUGCUCUCUGCUGACACCUCUGUGCUGAGCAGCAACAAGACAGAGAAUCUAUUCUGACCACAGCAAAUGGAUUGGGCAGUACUGUAUUCAGAACUAACAUCAGCCGUGUGUCACAGGUCCAGCUUAUGUGUAAUGCGUUCUAGAUUCAUUAGGUAAAACUGUCACAGAACCCAUCUCCAGGGAACGAGAAAGCUACCAGUUACACAAUAAGAAAAAGCCUAUAUUUUCAUUUUUAUCCUUUGCCUCAAGGCUUCCUGGAGCAUAAUGUUUUAUUUAUUCUUCUCCAUUGCUAAAGAACACUGUGUAACAAGACUCUUCCCUCAAUGAGCAAGAACUGUUCCCUAUCUUUAAGUGGUGCUUUGCAUCCCAUGCAUAAUUCUCUUACAUGGAAAUCCAGAAAACAGCUGGCAGGGGAAAAAAAAGAUCUAGGGGCCUCCUCCACCUUUUUAGAAUAUCUUGGGUUGAAUUUAGGAUAAUGCCAUCACACCUAUAAACCACCUAAGAAGACAAAGAACAUUUGAAACAGCAGACAUUAAAGGAAAAGUAUUCCGAACCUCCACCCUGAUCCCUGUCAUUUUUUUCGACUCCCCUCUGCUCUCACCAUCUGCCAUUCACAAACUUGUGAUCAUAUGUUAGUGUCAUUGAUAAAUCUUUUUGA
This is a long non-coding RNA of Hyla sarda, 957 nucleotides long. RefSeq lists it as uncharacterized. Lineage: Eukaryota; Metazoa; Chordata; Amphibia; Anura; Hylidae. The transcript is spliced from 4 exons. The record is from RefSeq and is a predicted model, not a curated record.